AAAAGAAAAACAAAACUGAGCCUCUGAAAAUACUUGAAACAAAACUACAAAUGUGAUGGGAUGCAUUUGCUCAGCUGGGAGAUGAGCACCUUGACUCAUUCAGCAUGCAUCAAUUUCCUUCAAAUGAGUGAUGUGCCUUGACGGACAUUCUCACCAAACAGAGAAUCAGUCUCAAAAAUUGGUUGUGUUCGUGGAAUAGAAAGUGAGAAAGGAAAGAGAACUGAAGUCACAAACACAACACUAUAAAAUGUGUCCCUCUUCCUUCAAGGAAAAAAUGGAAGAAAAGAAAGAAGAAUCCCUGAAUGUCUCUCGUCUUGCUCCCACUUUGAAGGUGACAGGAGAGAACUGCAGGGCUGCAUUCAGCAUGGACAACACUUGUCCUCUUUGUCACCACAGCUAGGCUCACACUGGCGCUGAGUCAUGCUGCUGCUCACAACGGAGGAGUUUUCAAAGACUCACAAGACUCUAAGAAGUGGACUUGAGAGGACAGUCUGUCCAUUGCUCUCUCUAGGUCAGACUACUCUUCAGUCUACCAUGAAGCAAAAAUAGAUAGAGGGAGAUUCUGUCACUGACCAAGGAUUGGCGAAUCUUCAACAUCAGGACAUUUCUUGUAAUGCCUAAGCAAAAUUUCAGAUUUGCAUCUUAACUCAUUUUUUAAAUUUACUUUUCAUAGUGAAAAAUAACCUUGAUUCUAACUGUAAACAUACAUUAUAUAUAUAUCACAUGUGUGUUAAACUAUAUAUGUAUACACACAAUCAUAUAAUAUAGAGUGUAUGCACAAAGUAUUGUUUACUAAUAAAGUACUUGAGUUCUAGAGCCA
This is a non-coding RNA of Ictidomys tridecemlineatus (thirteen-lined ground squirrel), 820 nucleotides long. The record is from RefSeq and is a predicted model, not a curated record. NCBI's taxonomy places the organism in Eukaryota, Metazoa, Chordata, Mammalia, Rodentia, Sciuridae.